This 96-nucleotide small nuclear RNA is filed under the name Cervus elaphus hippelaphus. Its description in RNAcentral is "U2 spliceosomal RNA". It matches the Rfam family "U2 spliceosomal RNA". From Rfam's summary of the family: U2 is a small nuclear RNA (snRNA) component of the spliceosome (involved in pre-mRNA splicing). Complementary binding between U2 snRNA (in an area lying towards the 5' end but 3' to hairpin I) and the branchpoint sequence (BPS) of the intron results the bulging out of an unpaired adenosine, on the BPS, which initiates a nucleophilic attack at the intronic 5' splice site, thus starting the first of two transesterification reactions that mediate splicing. RNAcentral also lists the same sequence under 1 other name. The record is from Rfam by way of RNAcentral. Lineage: Eukaryota; Metazoa; Chordata; Mammalia; Artiodactyla; Cervidae.
AUCGCUUCUCGGCCUUUUGGCUAAGAUCAAGUGUAGAAAGUGUUCUAGUUUCAUUCUUUUACAGGUGGUUGACCAGUUUUCCCAGUGCCACUGUUA